AGUGAGUUCCAGGAUGACCAGGGCUACACAACACAUGUGUUCAGUAAUGUGAAAUGUGUGAUUCCUUCUGCAUGAAUGUUGCGUAGGAUUCAAAAGCUACCCCAUCCAGUCAUGUCUCAAAGGAACAACACAGGCUGGAAUCUUCUGCAUGGCAAGAAUGGUCCUUGGUACUUCAAUAUCCAGAGAACAGAAUCCCCAUUUCCAUUAUGGAGGGUGAAAACUGUGACAGGGUUGAAUCUAGGGGGGAAAAGAUGGCUUUACAUCCUUUCUCAUGGCUCAUGUGUCUGUUUGUCCAUAUUCCUCUCUUGGUCUCCUGUCUGAAUUUUAGAAAAAUAUAAGGGCCCACUGGCCACACAUUGUCUUCUUGCCUAUCCUCGUGUGCUGAGAGAGACCCGGAAGCAGUCUUCCGAACCAGAAGCAUGAGGUUCAGUGUGGUAGGCUGGUGACAUCUCCUGUGCUGAAUGAGUUUCCCCAUUUGUCACCAUCGGUUCACACAAGAGCAUGUGACAGCUCUGCCCAUGGUCAUGUUUCUAAAGCUAAGCCACCAAGGGCUGUUCUCUUAUUUUGGCCACCUCCUUAUGCCUGAAACUCCAAGGUCCAGCUAUCAAAAUUCAUUAUAUGGCUACACCGGCUAACAUGUCCAAUCAUCACCAAGUCAUCCGAACACAGGCUUCCCCCGUUUCUCCUUAAAAAACCCUCCUGAAGAAAUUCCUGCUGCUGUCUUUGUCAGACCCACAGGCAGCCCC
Mus musculus (house mouse) is the source of this 746-nucleotide long non-coding RNA. RefSeq annotates it as predicted gene, 33530. Lineage: Eukaryota; Metazoa; Chordata; Mammalia; Rodentia; Muridae. The record is from RefSeq and is a predicted model, not a curated record. The transcript has 3 exons.